GACGAACGCUGGCGGCGUGCUUAACACAUGCAAGUCGAACGGAAAGGCCCUGCUUUUGUGGGGUGCUCGAGUGGCGAACGGGUGAGUAACACGUGAGUAACCUGCCCUUGACUUUGGGAUAACUUCAGGAAACUGGGGCUAAUACCGGAUAGGAGCUCCUGCUGCAUGGUGGGGGUUGGAAAGUUUCGGCGGUUGGGGAUGGACUCACGGCUUAUCAGCUUGUUGGGGGGGUAGGGGCUUACCAAGGCUUUGACGGGUAGCCGGCCUGAGAGGGUGACCGGCCACAUUGGGACUGAGAUAGGGACCAGAAUCCUACGGGAGGCAGCAGUGGAGAAUAUUGCACAAUGGGCGGAAGCCUGAUGCAGCAACGCCGCGUGCGGGAUGACGGCCUUCGGGUUGUAAACCGCUUUCGCCUGUGACGAAGCGUGAGUGACGGUAAUGGGUAAAGAAGCACCGGCUAACUACGUG
This 468-nucleotide ribosomal RNA is filed under the name uncultured bacterium. Its description in RNAcentral is "partial 16S ribosomal RNA". It matches the Rfam family "Bacterial small subunit ribosomal RNA", at positions 28 to 507 of the family's 1533-position model. The record is from RNAcentral.